RNAcentral lists this unclassified non-coding RNA (348 nucleotides) under soil metagenome. Its description in RNAcentral is "partial contains 5.8S ribosomal RNA, internal transcribed spacer 2, and large subunit ribosomal RNA". The stretch from base 1 to 120 matches the Rfam family "5.8S ribosomal RNA", at positions 35 to 154 of the family's 154-position model. The record is from RNAcentral.
GAUGAAGAACGCAGUGAAAUGCGAUAAGUAAUGUGAAUUGCAGAAUUCAGUGAAUCAUCGAAUCUUUGAACGCACAUUGCGCCCGCCAGUAUUCUGGCGGGCUUGCCUGUCUGAGCGUCAUUUCAACCCUCAUGCCCCUAGGGCGUGGUGUUGGGGAUCGGCCAAAGCCCGCGAGGGACGGCCGGCCCCUAAAUCUAGUGGCGGACCCGUCGUGGCCUCCUCUGCGAAGUAGUGAUAUUCCGCAUCGGAGAGCGAUGAGCCCCUGCCGUUAAACCCCCAACUUUCCAAGGUUGACCUCAGAUCAGGUAGGAAUACCCGCUGAACUUAAGCAUAUCAAUAAGCGGAGGA